RNAcentral lists this ribosomal RNA (329 nucleotides) under uncultured Levilinea sp. Its description in RNAcentral is "bacterial SSU rRNA". It matches the Rfam family "Bacterial small subunit ribosomal RNA", at positions 1041 to 1382 of the family's 1533-position model. The record is from RNAcentral. Lineage: Bacteria; Bacillati; Chloroflexota; Anaerolineae; Anaerolineales; Anaerolineaceae.
CUGCAUGGCUGUCGUCAGCUCGUGUCGUGAGAUGUUGGGUUAAGUCCCGUAACGAGCGCAACCCUUGCUGUGUGUUACAAGUGUCACACGGAACUGCCAGUCAUAAACCGGAGGAAGGUGGGGAUGACGUCAAGUCAGCAUGGCCUUUAUAUCCUGGGCUACACACACGCUACAAUGGGAAGGGACAAUAGGUUGCGAAGCCGCGAGGCGGAGCCAAUCCAGCAAAACUUCCCUCAGUUCAGAUUGCAGGCUGCAACUCGCCUGCAUGAAGUUGGAGUUGCUAGUAAACGCAGGUCAGCCAUACUGCGUUGAAUACGUUCCCGGGGCUU